AGAUUGAAGAGUCCGCCCGAAAUAAAAAUAAGGAGAAUCGGGCUUCAAAAACCGCAAAUAACGGAUAAAAAGACAAGUAUAAGCCGUUCUAAUGCGCCCCCAAAUAAAUGCUGCCCGUGACCGCCUCAUUGCUUUUUCGUCCAGAGGUAAUUAAAAUGCUACAAACUUAUUAUUAUUAUUCUAUUUUGGAUUAUAAUAAAAAUCAAGGCCAACUCGCUCCACUCCUCGCCUCAUAUAGAUGAAGAUUCGCUGCAUGCCAAAGAUUAAAAAAACAAGCAUACACCUGCACUAUUACUUCAGCGGAAUGCAACCUUCCGCAGGCCAAAGGAUAACGGUGUUUUUAAUUUUUUCGAAGGACGUUGUUUGUUUCGCUUCUUUUCUUUUUUUUUUUUACGAAAAUUGUGCCGGUGACCCAUCUUACAUUGAAAUACGUUAAAGGCGUAUUCUGGCGGUGUCAUCGGUCACUAUUCAUAAGAAAAGAUUAUGUUGUUUUUGCAACAAGCGGAAGUUUAUGCCAACAAAAUAUAAUUUGUGUGAAGCAUUAUUUUUGCUGUUUAAUUUAUUUAUCUAUUUAUUU
Molecule: long non-coding RNA, 577 nt
Organism: Glossina fuscipes
Lineage: Eukaryota; Metazoa; Arthropoda; Insecta; Diptera; Glossinidae
Exons: 3
Source: RefSeq, a predicted model, not a curated record